AUAGUCAGUCAGAGUAGACCCGAAACCGGGUGAUCUACCCAUGUCCAGGUUGAAGUUGCCGUAAAAGGCAAUGGAGGACCGAACGCACAUCCGUUGAAAAGGGUGGCGAUGAGGUGUGGGUAGGGGAGAAAUUCCAAUCGAACCCGGAGAUAGCUGGUUCUCCUCGAAAUAGCUUUAGGGCUAGCCUCGACAGAGUCUGAUGGAGGUAGAGCACUGAAUUUCCUAGGGGACGUCAAAGUCUACCGAAGAAUAUCAAACUCCGAAUGCCAUCAAGAUGCUUGUCGGGAGUCAGACUGCACGAGAUAAGUUGGGCAGUCAAAAGGGAAAGAGCCCAGACCUCCAGCUAAGGUCCCAAAGUGCGUGUUAAGUGGAAAAGGAUGUGGGAUUUCAAAGACAACCAGGAUGUUGGCUCAGAAGCAGCCAUACAUUCAAAGAGUGCGUAAUAGCUCACUGGUCGAGAGGUCCUGCGCCGAAAAUGUCCGGGGCUGAAACACGACACCGAAGCUGAGGAAUUGGACGCAAGUCGAAUUGGUAGAGGAGCAUUGCAUGCGCGACGAAGCAGUACCGUAAGGAGCUGUGGAGUGCAUGGAAGAGAGAAUGCCGGAAUGAGUAGCGAGAUGGAGGUGGGAAUCCUCCAGGCCGAAUAUCCAAGGUUUCCAGAGUAAAGCUGAUCUGCUCUGGGUAAGUCGGGACCUAAGGCGAGGCCGAGAGGCGUAGCCGAUGGACAACAGGUUGAGAUUCCUGUACUGCUGUAUAUCAGAACUGUGGGGACACAGAGGGAAAGCACAGGCGCGGAACGGAAAGCCGCGUGCAAGCGAGGUACCGGACUGGUAGGAAAAACCGCCAGUCAACGGGAAGGCGUGAUGCGUACCGAAAUCAAGUAGGGAAGUGUGUGAGCCAGCUGUCAAGAAAAGCCGCUAUUGCGUAUACAGUACCCGUACCGUAAACCGACACAGGUGGAUGAGGAGAGAAUCCUAAGGCCGGCGGAAGAAGUAUUGUCAAGGAACUCGGCAAAAUGACCCUGUAACUUCGGGAGAAAGGGUGCCUCGAAAGAGGCCGCAGAGAAUUGGCCCAAGCAACUGUUUAGCAAAAACACAGGUCUAUGCGAAACCGAAAGGUGAGGUAUAUGGGCUGACGCCUGCCCGGUGCUGGAAGGUUAAGGGGAGAUGUUAGAGCAAUCGAAGCAUUGAACUUAAGCCCCAGUAAACGGCGGCCGUAACUAUAACGGUCCUAAGGUAGCGAAAUUCCUUGUCGGGUAAGUUCCGACCCGCACGAAAGGCGUAAUGAUUUGGGCGCUGUCUCGACAAUACAUCCGGUGAAAUUGAAGUACCAGUGAAGAUGCUGGUUACCCGCGCCAGGACGGAAAGACCCCAUGGAGCUUUACUCCAGCUUGAUACUGGGAUUCGGUAUUGCAUGUACAGGAUAGGUGGGAGGCUAAGAAGCAUGGACGCCAGUCUAUGUGGAGCCGCUGUUGGGAUACCACCCUUGCGGUAUUGGAUUUCUAACCAGCCGCCGUGAAACCGGCGGUGGGACAAUGUCAGGCGGGGAGUUUGACUGGGGCGGUCGCCUCCGAAAGGGUAUCGGAGGCGCCCAAAGGUUCCCUCAGAAUGGUUGGAAACCAUUCGAAGAGUGCAAAGGCAGAAGGGAGCUUGACUGUGACACCGACGGGUGGAGCAGGUACGAAAGUAGGGCUUAGUGAUCCGGUGGUAUUAAGUGGGAAUGCCAUCGCUCAACGGAUAAAAGCUACCCUGGGGAUAACAGGCUUAUCACUCCCAAGAGUUCACAUCGACGGAGUGGUUUGGCACCUCGAUGUCGGCUCAUCGCAUCCUGGGGCUGUAGUAGGUCCCAAGGGUUGGGCUGUUCGCCCAUUAAAGCGGUACGCGAGCUGGGUUCAGAACGUCGUGAGACAGUUCGGUCCCUAUCCGGCGUGGGCGCAGGAUAUUUGAGAGGAGCUGUCCUUAGUACGAGAGGACCGGGAUGGACUGACCUCUGGUGCACCGGUUGUUCCGCCAGGAGCAUAGCCGGGUAGCCAAGUCGGGAAGGGAUAAACGCUGAAGGCAUCUAAGCGUGAAGCCCCCCUCAAGAUGAGAUAUCCCAUGCGAAAGCGAUAAGACCCCUUGA
Molecule: ribosomal RNA, 2121 nt
Filed under: uncultured Clostridium sp.
Lineage: Bacteria; Bacillati; Bacillota; Clostridia; Eubacteriales; Clostridiaceae
Description: bacterial LSU rRNA
Rfam family: Bacterial large subunit ribosomal RNA
Source: RNAcentral